This 2551-nucleotide ribosomal RNA is filed under the name Escherichia coli UMEA 3271-1. Its description in RNAcentral is "bacterial LSU rRNA". It matches the Rfam family "Bacterial large subunit ribosomal RNA", at positions 1 to 2579 of the family's 2925-position model. The record is from RNAcentral. Lineage: Bacteria; Pseudomonadati; Pseudomonadota; Gammaproteobacteria; Enterobacterales; Enterobacteriaceae.
UUAAGCGACUAAGCGUACACGGUGGAUGCCCUGGCAGUCAGAGGCGAUGAAGGACGUGCUAAUCUGCGAUAAGCGUCGGUAAGGUGAUAUGAACCGUUAUAACCGGCGAUUUCCGAAUGGGGAAACCCAGUGUGUUUCGACACACUAUCAUUAACUGAAUCCAUAGGUUAAUGAGGCGAACCGGGGGAACUGAAACAUCUAAGUACCCCGAGGAAAAGAAAUCAACCGAGAUUCCCCCAGUAGCGGCGAGCGAACGGGGAGGAGCCCAGAGCCUGAAUCAGUGUGUGUGUUAGUGGAAGCGUCUGGAAAGGCGCGCGAUACAGGGUGACAGCCCCGUACACAAAAAUGCACAUGCUGUGAGCUCGAUGAGUAGGGCGGGACACGUGGUAUCCUGUCUGAAUAUGGGGGGACCAUCCUCCAAGGCUAAAUACUCCUGACUGACCGAUAGUGAACCAGUACCGUGAGGGAAAGGCGAAAAGAACCCCGGCGAGGGGAGUGAAAAAGAACCUGAAACCGUGUACGUACAAGCAGUGGGAGCACGCUUAGGCGUGUGACUGCGUACCUUUUGUAUAAUGGGUCAGCGACUUAUAUUCUGUAGCAAGGUUAACCGAAUAGGGGAGCCGAAGGGAAACCGAGUCUUAACUGGGCGUUAAGUUGCAGGGUAUAGACCCGAAACCCGGUGAUCUAGCCAUGGGCAGGUUGAAGGUUGGGUAACACUAACUGGAGGACCGAACCGACUAAUGUUGAAAAAUUAGCGGAUGACUUGUGGCUGGGGGUGAAAGGCCAAUCAAACCGGGAGAUAGCUGGUUCUCCCCGAAAGCUAUUUAGGUAGCGCCUCGUGAACUCAUCUCCGGGGGUAGAGCACUGUUUCGGCAAGGGGGUCAUCCCGACUUACCAACCCGAUGCAAACUGCGAAUACCGGAGAAUGUUAUCACGGGAGACACACGGCGGGUGCUAACGUCCGUCGUGAAGAGGGAAACAACCCAGACCGCCAGCUAAGGUCCCAAAGUCAUGGUUAAGUGGGAAACGAUGUGGGAAGGCCCAGACAGCCAGGAUGUUGGCUUAGAAGCAGCCAUCAUUUAAAGAAAGCGUAAUAGCUCACUGGUCGAGUCGGCCUGCGCGGAAGAUGUAACGGGGCUAAACCAUGCACCGAAGCUGCGGCAGCGACGCUGAUGCGUUGUUGGGUAGGGGAGCGUUCUGUAAGCCUGCGAAGGUGUGCUGUGAGGCAUGCUGGAGGUAUCAGAAGUGCGAAUGCUGACAUAAGUAACGAUAAAGCGGGUGAAAAGCCCGCUCGCCGGAAGACCAAGGGUUCCUGUCCAACGUUAAUCGGGGCAGGGUGAGUCGACCCCUAAGGCGAGGCCGAAAGGCGUAGUCGAUGGGAAACAGGUUAAUAUUCCUGUACUUGGUGUUACUGCGAAGGGGGGACGGAGAAGGCUAUGUUGGCCGGGCGACGGUUGUCCCGGUUUAAGCGUGUAGGCUGGUUUUCCAGGCAAAUCCGGAAAAUCAAGGCUGAGGCGUGAUGACGAGGCACUACGGUGCUGAAGCAACAAAUGCCCUGCUUCCAGGAAAAGCCUCUAAGCAUCAGGUAACAUCAAAUCGUACCCCAAACCGACACAGGUGGUCAGGUAGAGAAUACCAAGGCGCUUGAGAGAACUCGGGUGAAGGAACUAGGCAAAAUGGUGCCGUAACUUCGGGAGAAGGCACGCUGAUAUGUAGGUGAAGUCCCUUGCGGAUGGAGCUGAAAUCAGUCGAAGAUACCAGCUGGCUGCAACUGUUUAUUAAAAACACAGCACUGUGCAAACACGAAAGUGGACGUAUACGGUGUGACGCCUGCCCGGUGCCGGAAGGUUAAUUGAUGGGGUCAGCGCAAGCGAAGCUCUUGAUCGAAGCCCCGGUAAACGGCGGCCGUAACUAUAACGGUCCUAAGGUAGCGAAAUUCCUUGUCGGGUAAGUUCCGACCUGCACGAAUGGCGUAAUGAUGGCCAGGCUGUCUCCACCCGAGACUCAGUGAAAUUGAACUCGCUGUGAAGAUGCAGUGUACCCGCGGCAAGACGGAAAGACCCCGUGAACCUUUACUAUAGCUUGACACUGAACAUUGAGCCUUGAUGUGUAGGAUAGGUGGGAGGCUUUGAAGUGUGGACGCCAGUCUGCAUGGAGCCGACCUUGAAAUACCACCCUUUAAUGUUUGAUGUUCUAACGUUGACCCGUGAUCCGGGUUGCGGACAGUGUCUGGUGGGUAGUUUGACUGGGGCGGUCUCCUCCUAAAGAGUAACGGAGGAGCACGAAGGUUGGCUAAUCCUGGUCGGACAUCAGGAGGUUAGUGCAAUGGCAUAAGCCAGCUUGACUGCGAGCGUGACGGCGCGAGCAGGUGCGAAAGCAGGUCAUAGUGAUCCGGUGGUUCUGAAUGGAAGGGCCAUCGCUCAACGGAUAAAAGGUACUCCGGGGAUAACAGGCUGAUACCGCCCAAGAGUUCAUAUCGACGGCGGUGUUUGGCACCUCGAUGUCGGCUCAUCACAUCCUGGGGCUGAAGUAGGUCCCAAGGGUAUGGCUG